This 250-nucleotide ribosomal RNA is filed under the name uncultured bacterium. Its description in RNAcentral is "partial 16S ribosomal RNA". It matches the Rfam family "Bacterial small subunit ribosomal RNA", at positions 524 to 773 of the family's 1533-position model. The record is from RNAcentral.
UACGGAGGGUGCGAGCGUUGUUCGGAAUCAUUGGGCGUAAAGCGCAGGUAGGCGGUUCGGUAGGUCUUUCGUGAAAGCUCCCGGCUCAACUGGGAGAGGCCAAGGGAAACUACUGGGCUAGAGUGUGGUAGGGGAGACUGGAAUUCCCGGUGUAGCGGUGGAAUGCGUAGAGAUCGGGAAGAACAUCAGUGGCGAAGGCGGCCAUCUGGGUCUGAACUGACGCUGAGAUGCGAAAGCGUGGGGAGCAAAC